Molecule: ribosomal RNA, 225 nt
Filed under: uncultured Pseudomonas sp.
Lineage: Bacteria; Pseudomonadati; Pseudomonadota; Gammaproteobacteria; Pseudomonadales; Pseudomonadaceae
Description: partial 16S ribosomal RNA
Rfam family: Bacterial small subunit ribosomal RNA
Source: RNAcentral
UGCUGUNGGUGGGGACAACGUUUCGAAAGGAACGCUAAUACCGCAUACGUCCUACGGGAGAAAGCAGGGGACCUUCGGGCCUUGCGCUAUCAGAUGAGCCUAGGUCGGAUUAGCUAGUUGGUGAGGUAAUGGCUCACCAAGGCGACGAUCCGUAACUGGUCUGAGAGGAUGAUCAGUCACACUGGAACUGAGACACGGUCCAGACUCCUACGGGAGGCAGCAGGC